This 451-nucleotide ribosomal RNA is filed under the name uncultured bacterium. RNAcentral describes it as "partial 16S ribosomal RNA". It matches the Rfam family "Bacterial small subunit ribosomal RNA", at positions 354 to 796 of the family's 1533-position model. The record is from RNAcentral.
GUGGGGAAUAUUGGACAAUGGGGGGAACCCUGAUCCAGCCAUGCCGCGUGUGUGAAGAAGGCCUUUUGGUUGUAAAGCACUUUAAGCGAGGAGGAGGCUACCGAGAUUAAUACUCUUGGAUAGUGGACGGUACUCGCAGAAUAAGCACCGGCUAACUCUGUGCCAGCAGCCGCGGUAAUACAGAGGGUGCAAGCGUUAAUCGGAUUUACUGGGCGUAAAGCGCGCGUAGGUGGCCAAUUAAGUCAAAUGUGAAAUCCCCGAGCUUAACUUGGGAAUUGCAUUCGAUACUGGUUGGCUAGAGUAUGGGAGAGGAUGGUAGAAUUCCAGGUGUAGCGGUGAAAUGCGUAGAGAUCUGGAGGAAUACCGAUGGCGAACGCAGCCAUCUGGCCUAAUACUGACACUGAGGUGCGAAAGCAUGGGGAGCAAACAGGAUUAGAAACCCGAGUAGUCC